UACGGAGGGUGCAAGCGUUAAUCGGAAUAACUGGGCGUAAAGCGCACGCAGGCGGUCUGUCAAGUCGGAUGUGAAAGCCCCGGGCUCAACCUGGGAACUGCAUUUGAAACUGGCUGGCUAGAGUCUUGUAGAGGGGGGUAGAAUUCCAGGUGUAGCGGUGAAAUGCGUAGAGAUCUGGAGGAAUACCGGUGGCGAAGGCGGCCCCCUGGACAAAGACUGACGCUCAGGUGCGAAAGCGUGGGGAGCAAACAGG
This 253-nucleotide ribosomal RNA is filed under the name uncultured bacterium. RNAcentral describes it as "partial 16S ribosomal RNA". It matches the Rfam family "Bacterial small subunit ribosomal RNA", at positions 524 to 776 of the family's 1533-position model. The record is from RNAcentral.